AUGAAAAGGAAGCACAAAUAUGAGGGCAGUAGUUACUCAACAUUUCCUUUGACAAUACUGAAGCUUUAUUGGGUAUCCACAAGCUCCUCCUUGGAUCAUCAUUAUUAUAAUACUAAAAGUAAAAUUCUCCCACUGCUGAUUUAUCUGAACUUCAAGGUUUAUUCAGCAGUCAUAUCACACAAGUUGAGGAAUAUAUUUCUCUUCACACUCUUCAUUCUUGAGUGCAGAUCAGAGGACACAGUUGAUCAGCCAGACAAACAUGUGACUGAAGCUGAAGGAAGAUCAGUGACAUUACAGUGUAAAUAUAAAACAGAUUCAACAGGAGAAGAUUUAUUCUGGUACAUCCAGAGAGCAAAUGACUUUCCUAAAUACAUCCUGAGGAGAAGCAAAUAUGGAGGAGAAAAUGGCACUGAGUUCCAGAAGAGAUUUCACUCUGAACUUUCAUCAAAUUCAGUUCCUCUGAAGAUCAAGGAUCUGCGUGUGUCUGACUCUGCUGUGUAUUACUGUGCUCUGAGGCCCACAGUCGCAGGAAACACAUCAGAUCUAUACAAAAACCUGUUACACAGAGACACGGACGAACACAGCUAGAAAGAAAGAGGAACUGACAAUCACAGCAUUAUGUCAGAAAGUAAUAGAAUCAAUGAAUAGGCUAAAUCACAGGUAAUAAAUCAAAAGGUAGAUACAGAUUUCUUUUCUUUUAAUGAUAAGGUGUGAAUUUGUGUGGCAAUGUGAAAGAUUUACAUUAUUCAAUUAGAGUUAUUAAAUCCCUAUAAACUGCCCUUUAAUUCAACAAACAAUAAAACAUCUCAAAUUAUUGUCAUGUGCAAUAUACAGUAGCGGCAAAAAAUGAUAUCUGGAGACUAGGAUUUAAAUAAAUAUUUAAUGAUCCUACAAGUGUCAGGAUUAUGUUUUGUUCGUUGUGUUUUAUGUGAUCUGGGGCCGUAUUCACAAAACAUCUUAAGGCUACAAGUAGCUCCUAACUUGCUGAUUUAGGAGAAACUCUUAAAAAUAAUGGGCGUGUCAGUCCUAAUUUUAGGAGUCCUAAAUUUUUGCUCU
Molecule: non-coding RNA, 1056 nt
Organism: Megalobrama amblycephala (Wuchang bream)
Lineage: Eukaryota; Metazoa; Chordata; Actinopteri; Cypriniformes; Xenocyprididae
Source: the annotation of a RefSeq genome assembly